CAGCAGCGCGAAACUUACAAUGCUUGGCACAGCGAUAAGGGGACCUCGAGUGCCAGGUUACAAAUCUGGCUGUCGUAAUGCCUAAAAAGCAUUGCAUAGCAAGGGCCGGGCAAGACCGGUGCCAGCCGCCGCGGUAACACCGGCGGCUCGAGUGGUAACCGUUAUUAUUGGGUCUAAAGGGUCUGUAGCCGGCCGGAUAAGUCUCUUGGGAAAUCUGGCAGCUUAACUGUCAGGCUUUCAGGAGAUACUGUCUGGCUCGAGGCCGGGAGAGGUGAGAGGUACUUCAGGGGUAGGGGUGAAAUCUUGUAAUCCUUGAAGGACCACCAGUGGCGAAGGCGUCUCACCAGAACGGACCUGACGGCAAGGGACGAAAGCUAGGGGCACGAACCGGAUUAGAUACCUGGGUAGUCCUAGCCGUAAACGAUACUCGCUAGGUGUCGGCCACGGUGCGACCGUUGUCGGUGCCGUAGGGAAGCCGUGAAGCGAGCCACCUGGGAAGUACGGCCGCAAGGCUGAAACUUAAAGGAAUUGGCGGGGACACCACAACGGGUGGAGCUUGGCGGUUUAUU
RNAcentral lists this ribosomal RNA (569 nucleotides) under bacterium enrichment culture clone MST786A-12.fa. RNAcentral's name for it is "bacterial SSU rRNA". It matches the Rfam family "Archaeal small subunit ribosomal RNA", at positions 333 to 907 of the family's 1478-position model. The record is from RNAcentral.